RNAcentral lists this ribosomal RNA (1687 nucleotides) under Escherichia coli. Its description in RNAcentral is "partial 23S ribosomal RNA". It matches the Rfam family "Bacterial large subunit ribosomal RNA", at positions 1260 to 2925 of the family's 2925-position model. The record is from RNAcentral. Lineage: Bacteria; Pseudomonadati; Pseudomonadota; Gammaproteobacteria; Enterobacterales; Enterobacteriaceae.
CCUGUGAGGGUUGCUGGAGGUAUCAGAAGUGCGAAUGCUGACAUAAGUAACGAUAAAGCGGGUGAAAAGCCCGCUCGCCGGAAGACCAAGGGUUCCUGUCCAACGUUAAUCGGGGCAGGGUGAGUCGACCCCUAAGGCGAGGCCGAAAGGCGUAGUCGAUGGGAAACAGGUUAAUAUUCCUGUACUUGGUGUUACUGCGAAGGGGGGACGGAGAAGGCUAUGUUGGCCGGGCGACGGUUGUCCCGGUUUAAGCGUGUAGGCUGGUUUUCCAGGCAAAUCCGGAAAACCAAGGCUGAGGCGUGAUGACGAGGCACUACGGUGCUGAAGCGACAAAUGCCCUGCUUCCAGGAAAAGCCUCUAAGCAUCAGGUAACAUCAAAUCGUACCCCAAACCGACACAGGUGGUCAGGUAGAGAAUACCAAGGCGCUUGAGAGAACUCGGGUGAAGGAACUAGGCAAAAUGGUGCCGUAACUUCGGGAGAAGGCACGCUGAUAUGUAGGUGAAGCGACUUGCUCGUGGAGCUGAAAUCAGUCGAAGAUACCAGCUGGCUGCAACUGUUUAUUAAAAACACAGCACUGUGCAAACACGAAAGUGGACGUAUACGGUGUGACGCCUGCCCGGUGCCGGAAGGUUAAUUGAUGGGGUUAGCGGCAACGCGAAGCUCUUGAUCGAAGCCCCGGUAAACGGCGGCCGUAACUAUAACGGUCCUAAGGUAGCGAAAUUCCUUGUCGGGUAAGUUCCGACCUGCACGAAUGGCGUAAUGAUGGCCAGGCUGUCUCCACCCGAGACUCAGUGAAAUUGAACUCGCUGUGAAGAUGCAGUGUACCCGCGGCAAGACGGAAAGACCCCGUGAACCUUUACUAUAGCUUGACACUGAACAUUGAGCCUUGAUGUGUAGGAUAGGUGGGAGGCUUUGAAGUGUGGACGCCAGUCUGCAUGGAGCCGACCUUGAAAUACCACCCUUUAAUGUUUGAUGUUCUAACGUUGGCCCGUAAUCCGGGUUGCGGACAGUGUCUGGUGGGUAGUUUGACUGGGGCGGUCUCCUCCUAAAGAGUAACGGAGGAGCACGAAGGUUGGCUAAUCCUGGUCGGACAUCAGGAGGUUAGUGCAAUGGCAUAAGCCAGCUUGACUGCGAGCGUGACGGCGCGAGCAGGUGCGAAAGCAGGUCAUAGUGAUCCGGUGGUUCUGAAUGGAAGGGCCAUCGCUCAACGGAUAAAAGGUACUCCGGGGAUAACAGGCUGAUACCGCCCAAGAGUUCAUAUCGACGGCGGUGUUUGGCACCUCGAUGUCGGCUCAUCACAUCCUGGGGCUGAAGUAGGUCCCAAGGGUAUGGCUGUUCGCCAUUUAAAGUGGUACGCGAGCUGGGUUUAGAACGUCGUGAGACAGUUCGGUCCCUAUCUGCCGUGGGCGCUGGAGAACUGAGGGGGGCUGCUCCUAGUACGAGAGGACCGGAGUGGACGCAUCACUGGUGUUCGGGUUGUCAUGCCAAUGGCACUGCCCGGUAGCUAAAUGCGGAAGAGAUAAGUGCUGAAAGCAUCUAAGCACGAAACUUGCCCCGAGAUGAGUUCUCCCUGACUCCUUGAGAGUCCUGAAGGAACGUUGAAGACGACGACGUUGAUAGGCCGGGUGUGUAAGCGCAGCGAUGCGUUGAGCUAACCGGUACUAAUGAACCGUGAGGCUUAACCUU